This 253-nucleotide unclassified non-coding RNA is filed under the name uncultured Frankiales bacterium. Its description in RNAcentral is "contains 16S-23S intergenic spacer region". It matches the Rfam family "Bacterial small subunit ribosomal RNA", at positions 524 to 776 of the family's 1533-position model. Lineage: Bacteria; Bacillati; Actinomycetota; Actinomycetes; Frankiales. The record is from RNAcentral.
UACGUAGGGUGCAAGCGUUAUCCGGAUUUAUUGGGCGUAAAGAGCUCGUAGGCGGUUAGACACGUCGGAUGUGAAAACUGGUGGCUCAACCACCAGCCUGCAUUCGAUACGGUCUGACUUGAAUGUGGUAGGGGUAACUGGAAUUCCUGGUGUAGCGGUGAAAUGCGCAGAUAUCAGGAGGAACACCGAUGGCGAAGGCAGGUUACUGGGCCAAUAUUGACGCUGAGGAGCGAAAGCGUGGGGAGCGAACAGG